UGGGGAAUCUUGGACAAUGGGCGCAAGCCUGAUCCAGCCAUGCCGCGUGAGUGAAGAAGGCCUUCGGGUUGUAAAGCUCUUUUACCAGGGACGAUAAUGACGGUACCUGGAGAAUAAGCCCCGGCUAACUUCGUGCCAGCAGCCGCGGUAAUACGAAGGGGGCUAGCGUUGCUCGGAAUUACUGGGCGUAAAGGGAGCGUAGGCGGACAUUUAAGUCAGAGGUGAAAUCCCGGAGCUUAACUUCGGAACUGCCUUUGAUACUGGGUGUCUUGAGUGUGAGAGAGGUAUGUGGAACUCCGAGUGUAGAGGUGAAAUUCGUAGAUAUUCGGAAGAACACCAGUGGCGAAGGCGGCUCACUGGCCAGUUUCUGACGCUGCAGCGCGAAAGCGUGGGGAUCAAACAGGAUUAGAUACCCGGGUAGUCCCUGAGCGGGCUGGCAAGGCGCAU
This 447-nucleotide ribosomal RNA is filed under the name uncultured bacterium. Its description in RNAcentral is "bacterial SSU rRNA". It matches the Rfam family "Bacterial small subunit ribosomal RNA", at positions 355 to 825 of the family's 1533-position model. The record is from RNAcentral.